UUUUUUUUUUUUUUUUGUAUAAUUCAUGACACCUGUUUAGAUGGUUUUGAAAUACCACCGGCACUUCCAGUAAUAAGAAUUGUUUGAGGUACUGCAUCUUUUAAGUUCUUGAAAUGGAAUCUGGCCAUUAGUGAAAGAACUGUUUUAUGACUAUAAUGCAUUGGAAGCUAACAGGCGAUAUGGUUGGUUCGAGCUUCUCUAUUGAUGCAUGAACUCAUGAUAUCGGUGGAUUAAAGGAAGGUAGCAGUAUUUGUUUAAAUUUAAGACAGUGGUGUUGUAACUUUAAGAAAAAUAGGUUACUAAGCCAUGUUAUCUGCUUAACAGGAUGACAACUGAAAACCAAGAGACCAAGUAUAUGGUCUGAUUGGUCUAUUGAGAAACGUUGCUGGAUUUUUGGAGCAAAAAUUGGAUUAAAAUUUUGCUUUCAAGCAUAAAAGAAGGAUUUUCACGCAGAUGGAGGUGUUUCAAAGGGAAGCAACAAAUCAUUGUGUGAUGAAUGAUAAAAAUGCUCUUAAAAUACAGUAGCUAUUGCUAAUGGACGAUAAUGGGUUUUAGAGUGGCAGUUCAUUAUUUAGUAACUUGGAGAUGAUGUAUUCUGGAAGCUACUAGUUAAUAAGUAGUACAACUAUAAUAAUGGAAACUUCAGGCAGUUUGGUCUUGAAGUUGCUUAGGCUUUUGUGGUGUAUGUUUUAAUUAUUUGGUAAGCUUUGAAAGUUAGGCUUUAUAUUAUUGACAGUGAUCUUAAGGAAGUUAUUUUAUAGGUAUGCAGACCUUGGGCAGGUCAUGAGGAUAUAGAGCUUUCUACUUAUUUAUCUACUUGUUUUUAGGCUGUAAAAAACUUCUAAUAUUUGGUCUGCAAUGCAAGACACUGAAUGGUUUGUUUUAUAACUAGCAGUUCUUGCUAGGUUUCGGAUAGUAAAGCUUGUGCUAAAAAUUCAAAUAAAUUCUUGAAUUUCAAAUUCCUCUAUCCAGAUGCAUUCUUAAGUUUGUUGUGGUUUAUAUUAUUGGAUAAGCAACUUACAGUAGAAAGCAAAAUGUGAAUUAAAAUGGUAAACUUUGUUUUUAUGUUUGAAGGCCAAAUUUGUAUUAUCAAACUUUUCUGUAUGUCUGUAGGUCUUUACAUCUCCCCCUCGUUGCUGAGGAUAGAAUGAUUUCAUUUUAUCAUUAUUGCACAUAAAUGACAAUGGAAUGAUUGAAUAUCUGUGAUCCUAUCCAAAAAUAAAAGAAGAAAAAUAAAAAUAUGUGUAAUCUGAGAGUUGUAUAUAUCUACAUGUGUGUAUUGGAGCUUAAUGGCAUACUCAAAUUGUUUGGCAUUGGGACAUUGUUUAUAUAUUGAUUUGUGGCCUUAUUUGCUGUCUUCUAUUUCAAACUUCAUCAAAUGCUUGGGCUUUUUGACAUGCAGAUUUAGGAUAUUGGGUCAGUGAUAGUAGUUUGCAAAAGGAAUUUUCAAGUUUUGGUGAAAUAGCUGAAGGUAAAUUCAUUUCUGGCUUUGAAUAACUCGGCUUUUCUAUAGUAGCCCUUUUCAAUUAUUCUAAUAAACGCUGCAAGUAUUGCAACUUUAUCUCCCAUCUGUGGCAGUUAAGCUUGUCAAAGAUGAAAUCACAAAGAGACCUAAAGCAUAUGCAUUUAUUCAAUAUACUUGUCAAGAUGAUGCCAUUCUAGCACUGGAGAAUAUGGACCAAAAGGUUGUAUUUUGUCACGUUGCCCUUGUUUUCAAAGACACGGUUGAAAAUUCAUGUUGUUCUUAUCUUUUAUCAUCAGAUAUUUGAUGGCAGAUUGAUUUAUGUUGAACUUGCCAAACCUGGGAAAGGAAGUUUUGAAGGAUACCCAAAAGCCUCAGGUCCUCCAAAGCAGCAUUUGCAGGAAAAAGAUGAGGUUGCAGAUUGCUGGUACUGAUCAAAUUCAUUUUGAUAACUUGAAGUCACUGAAGUAGGAAAAAUUGUAAUUCAAGGAACGGGGCAAAAUGGAGUGCUACUGCUCAUAUAGAAUUGUUUCAAGAAAUCUGCAACCGAUAACAUAUCAUCUUGAAGCCACAUCAGAUCACCGCAUCAUUAUAAUUUACCAUCUUGAUCUGUGUAAUAUUUGUCUUAACUUAUGCAUAUGUUAGAGUGCAGACUGCGGAGUUUGUCUCAAACCAGAGCAGCCAUAGGGAUCAAUCAUGUAGAGUGAAAAACGAAUCUCUGCUUUUAAAACUAAAUUAUUACUAGUAUGACGUUUUGAACAAAUGGUCCCUCUCUUCACAUCUGUAUCUUUGAAUUAUUGCUAUAAUUUUAUGGCUUUGAAGAAGAGGUGGUCGGGUUGAUAGGAAAUUAUUAUGCUUAAAAUUAGUGGCUUUAUUGGGCUUAGAAAAUUACAUGUUAUACCCGUUAUGGCUUUGUACUGCGGAUUCACAUUCUAAUUCUCCUACAAACUGAUCAGUAUAGAAAACACAACCGUGUGAUGACACCUUUU
RNAcentral lists this unclassified non-coding RNA (2451 nucleotides) under Hevea brasiliensis (rubber tree). The record is from RNAcentral. Lineage: Eukaryota; Viridiplantae; Streptophyta; Magnoliopsida; Malpighiales; Euphorbiaceae.